AUUGAACGCUGGCGGCAUGCCUUACACAUGCAAGUCGAACGGUAACAGGUCUUCGGAUGCUGACGAGUGGCGAACGGGUGAGUAAUACAUCGGAACGUGCCCGAGAGUGGGGGAUAACGAAGCGAAAGCUUUGCUAAUACCGCAUACGAUCUCAGGAUGAAAGCAGGGGACCGCAAGGCCUUGCGCUCACGGAGCGGCCGAUGGCAGAUUAGGUAGUUGGUGGGAUAAAAGCUUACCAAGCCGACGAUCUGUAGCUGGUCUGAGAGGACGACCAGCCACACUGGGACUGAGACACGGCCCAGACUCCUACGGGAGGCAGCAGUGGGGAAUUUUGGACAAUGGGCGCAAGCCUGAUCCAGCCAUGCCGCGUGCAGGAUGAAGGCCUCGGUUGUAACUAGCUUUGUACGGACGAAAGACUCUGGUUAAUACCUGGGUCCAUGACGGUACCGUAAGAAUAAGCACCGGCUAACUACGUGCCAGCAGCCG
RNAcentral lists this ribosomal RNA (486 nucleotides) under uncultured bacterium. Its description in RNAcentral is "bacterial SSU rRNA". It matches the Rfam family "Bacterial small subunit ribosomal RNA", at positions 30 to 517 of the family's 1533-position model. The record is from RNAcentral.